CGGUAAUUCCAGCUCCAAUANCGUAUAUUAAAGUUGUUGCAGUUAAAAAGCUCGUAGUUGAACUUUGGGCCUGGUUGGCCGGUCCGAUUUUUUCGCGUACUGGUUUCCAACCGGGCCUUUCCUUCUGGCUAACCUUGGGUCCUUGUGGCCCUUGGCGAACCAGGACUUUUACUUUGAAAAAAUUAGAGUGUUCAAAGCAGGCGUAUUGCUCGAAUAUAUUAGCAUGGAAUAAUAGAAUAGGACGUUUGGUUCUAUUUUGUUGGUUUCUAGGACCAUCGUAAUGAUUAAUAGGGACGGUCGGGGGCAUCAGUAUUCAAUUGUCAGAGGUGAAAUUCUUGGAUUUAUUGAAGACUAACUACUGCGAAAGCAUUUGCCAAGGACGUUUUCAUUAAUCAAGAACGAAAGUUAGGGGAUCGAAGAUGAUCAGAUACCGUCGUAGUCUUAACCAUAAACUAUGCCGACUAGGGAUCGGGUGGUGUUUUUUUACUGACCCACUCGACACCUUACGAGAAAUCAAAGUCUUUGGGUCCUGGGGGGAGUAUGGUCGCAAGGCUGAAACUUAAAGGAAUUGACGGAAGGGCACCACCAGGAGUGGAGCCUGCGGCUUAAUUUGACUCAACACGGGGAAACUCACCAGGUCCAGACACAAUAAGGAUUGACAGAUUGAGAGCUCUUUCUUGAUUUUGUGGGUGGUGGUGCAUGGCCGUUCUUAGUUGGUGGAGUGAUUUGUCUGCUUAAUUGCGAUAACGAACGAGACCUUAACCUACUAAAUAGUGGUGCUAGCAUUUGCUGGUUAUCCACUUCUUAGAGGGACUAUCGGUUUCAAGCCGAUGGAAGUUUGAGGCAAUAACAGGUCUGUGAUGCCCUUAGACGUUCUGGGCCGCACGCGCGCUACACUGACGGAGCCAGCGAGUCUAACCUUGGCCGAGAGGUCUGGGUAAUCUUGUGAAACUCCGUCGUGCUGGGGAUAGAGCAUUGUAAUUAUUGCUCUUCAACGAGGAAUUCCUAGUAAGCGCAAGUCAUCAGCUUGCGUUGAUUACNCCCCUGCCCCUUGNANNNNCCGCCC
RNAcentral lists this ribosomal RNA (1066 nucleotides) under uncultured eukaryote. RNAcentral's name for it is "SSU rRNA". It matches the Rfam family "Eukaryotic small subunit ribosomal RNA", at positions 577 to 1674 of the family's 1831-position model. The record is from RNAcentral.